UGGGGAAUAUUGCACAAUGGGCGCAAGCCUGAUGCAGCCAUGCCGCGUGUGUGAAGAAGGCCUUCGGGUUGUAAAGCACUUUCAGCGGGGAGGAAGGCGUUAAGGUUAAUAACCUUGGCGAUUGACGUGACCCGCAGAAGAAGCACCGGCUAACUCCGUGCCAGCAGCCGCGGUAAUACGGAGGGUGCAAGCGUUAAUCGGAAUUACUGGGCGUAAAGCGCACGCAGGCGGUCUGUCAAGUCGGAUGUGAAAUCCCCGGGCUCAACCUGGGAACUGCAUUCGAAACUGGCAGGCUAGAGUCUUGUAGAGGGGGGUAGAAUUCCAGGUGUAGCGGUGAAAUGCGUAGAGAUCUGGAGGAAUACCGGUGGCGAAGGCGGCCCCCUGGACAAAGACUGACGCUCAGGUGCGAAAGCGUGGGGAGCAAACAGG
Molecule: ribosomal RNA, 429 nt
Filed under: Chloroflexota bacterium
Lineage: Bacteria; Bacillati; Chloroflexota
Description: Chloroflexi bacterium partial 16S ribosomal RNA
Rfam family: Bacterial small subunit ribosomal RNA
Source: RNAcentral